UGCCAGCCGCCGCGGUAAUACGGAGGAUCCAAGCGUUAUCCGGAUUCAUUGGGUUUAAAGGGUCCGCAGGCGGAGUAUUAAGUCAGUGGUGAAAGCCGGCAGCUUAACUGUCGAAUUGCCAUUGAUACUGGUACUCUUGAGUGUAGUUGAAGUAGGCGGAAUAAGUCAUGUAGCGGUGAAAUGCAUAGAUAUGACUUAGAACACCGAUUGCGAAGGCAGCUUACUAAGCUACUACUGACGCUCAUGGACGAAAGCGUGGGGAGCGAACAGGAUUAGAUA
Molecule: ribosomal RNA, 279 nt
Filed under: uncultured bacterium
Lineage: Bacteria
Description: partial 16S ribosomal RNA
Rfam family: Bacterial small subunit ribosomal RNA
Source: RNAcentral